RNAcentral lists this ribosomal RNA (253 nucleotides) under uncultured bacterium. RNAcentral's name for it is "partial 16S ribosomal RNA". It matches the Rfam family "Bacterial small subunit ribosomal RNA", at positions 524 to 776 of the family's 1533-position model. The record is from RNAcentral.
UACAGAGGUGGCGAGCGUUGUUCGGAUUUACUGGGCGUAAAGGGUGCGUAGGCGGCUUUGUGUGUCGGACGUGAAAGCCCACUGCCUAACGGUGGAACGUCGUUCGAAACUGCAGGGCUCGAGUUCAGGAGAGGAGAGCGGAAUUCUCGGUGUAGCGGUGGAAUGCGUUGAUAUCGAGAAGAACACCGGUGGCGUAGGCGGCUCUCUGGAAUGAAACUGACGCUGAGGCACGAAAGCGCGGGGAGCAAACAGG